Molecule: ribosomal RNA, 253 nt
Filed under: uncultured bacterium
Lineage: Bacteria
Description: partial 16S ribosomal RNA
Rfam family: Bacterial small subunit ribosomal RNA
Source: RNAcentral
UACGUAGGGGGCAAGCGUUGUCCGGAAUUAUUGGGCGUAAAGAGCGUGUAGGCGGUCCGGUAAGUCAGCUGUGAAAGUCAAGGGCUCAACCCUUGAAUGCCGGUUGAUACUGUCGGGCUAGAGUCCGGAAGAGGCGAGUGGAAUUCCCGGUGUAGCGGUGAAAUGCGCAGAUAUCGGGGGGAACACCAAUGGCGAAGGCAGCUCGCUGGGACGGUACUGACGCUGAGACGCGAAAGCGUGGGGAGCAAACAGG